This 207-nucleotide long non-coding RNA is filed under the name Elaeis guineensis (African oil palm). RNAcentral's name for it is "long non-coding RNA (EGUI_LNC064976)". Lineage: Eukaryota; Viridiplantae; Streptophyta; Magnoliopsida; Arecales; Arecaceae. The record is from RNAcentral.
AAUAUGGCGUCAUUUAGUUUAGGCGUUAUGAAGAGGAGUCUUUCUUCCUUACUCCUCUUAAUUUUCUUGCAUGGUUCCACACAUUUUUCAUUAAUCCUCAUGUCAUGUGAUAGCGCAUGGGAUAUGGGGCAUGGAAGAGGAGGAGUCCUUCUUUUGGAAAGAAUUUACAUGCCAAAAAUUAUUGGGAUGCCACAUUUAUUUUGGCGU